CUACGGGUGGCAGCAGUGAGGAAUAUUGGUCAAUGGUCGGGAGACUGAACCAGCCAAGCCGCGUGAGGGAGGAAGGUACAGAGUAUCGUAAACCUCUUUUGUCGGGGAACAAAGGCGGGGACGUGUCCCCGGAUGAGUGUACCUGAAGAAAAAGCAUCGGCUAACUCCGUGCCAGCAGCCGCGGUAAUACGGAGGAUGCGAGCGUUAUCCGGAUUUAUUGGGUUUAAAGGGUGCGCAGGCGGUCUGUUAAGUCAGCGGUCAAAGCCCGGGGCUCAACCCCGGCCCGCCGUUGAAACUGGCAGGCUCGAGUUGGAGAGAAGUAAGCGGAAUUGCUAGUGUAGCGGUGAAAUGCGUAGAUAUUAGGAGGAACACCAGUGGCGAAGGCGGCUUACUGGACUGUAACUGACGUUGAGGCUCGAAAGCGUGGGGAGCAAACAGGAUUAGAUACCCCAGUAGUC
This 458-nucleotide ribosomal RNA is filed under the name uncultured bacterium. RNAcentral's name for it is "partial 16S ribosomal RNA". It matches the Rfam family "Bacterial small subunit ribosomal RNA", at positions 339 to 795 of the family's 1533-position model. The record is from RNAcentral.